AGCCUGCCCAGUGACAAAAUUUAACGGCCGCGGUACCCUGACCGUGCGAAGGUAGCAUAAUCACUUGUUCUUUAAAUAGGGACUAGUAUCAACGGCAUCACGAGGGNUUUACUGUCUCCUUUCUCCAAUCAGUGAAACUGAUCUUCCCGUGAAGAAGCGGGAAUGAACCUAUAAGACGAGAAGACCCCAUGGAGCUUUAAAUUUCACAGCAACUCAGUAACAUAUUUCCUUAUAACUCAAAGAGUUAUGCAUGCCAAUUUUAGGUUGGGGUGACCGCGGAGUAUAAAAUAACCUCCACAUCGAAAAGAACUAAAUCUNUAUUUAAGAGCCACAGSUCUAAAAAUUAGUACACUAACGAACAAUGACCCGAUAAUCGAUCAACGGACCAAGUUACCCUGGGGAUAACAGCGCAAUCUACUUCAAGAGCCCAUAUCGACAAGUAGGCUUACGACCUCGAUGUUGGAUCAGGGUAUCCCAGUGGUGCAGCCGCUACUAAUGGUUCGUUU
Molecule: ribosomal RNA, 506 nt
Filed under: Zhangixalus dulitensis
Lineage: Eukaryota; Metazoa; Chordata; Amphibia; Anura; Rhacophoridae
Description: partial 16S ribosomal RNA
Rfam family: Bacterial large subunit ribosomal RNA
Source: RNAcentral